AAUCAGUCAAUCUUUAAACUGUAGCAAAAAUGAAAGUAUUUCAAAUAAUAGUUGUAGUGGCUUGCAUUAUUGCUGGCGUUACCUGUGAUCCAGACUACAACUCAGUACGAUUAGGCAAUGGCGUUCAUCUGGUUUCAAGCACGAAUUAGAUGUUGACGACAACUUCAAAUGGACAUUUUCAAACAUAUUUUAUAUUAAAUAAAAUGUCUAAAAUGCUAAAUUAAACAUUUAUUUAACUGUUACUAUGUUGUAGUGAAUAAAAAUUAUAUAAAAGCAAAUAUAAAGAA
Molecule: long non-coding RNA, 287 nt
Organism: Calliphora vicina (urban bluebottle blowfly)
Lineage: Eukaryota; Metazoa; Arthropoda; Insecta; Diptera; Calliphoridae
Exons: 2
Source: RefSeq, a predicted model, not a curated record